Long non-coding RNA from Gasterosteus aculeatus aculeatus (three-spined stickleback), 1140 nucleotides. NCBI's taxonomy places the organism in Eukaryota, Metazoa, Chordata, Actinopteri, Perciformes, Gasterosteidae. The record is from Ensembl.
GCACCUGUCGUUAGCAUUACGCGACGACAAGGAGCUCCCAACACAGGGCCUUGGGACAGAAACCAAGGAUCUUUCCACAUAACCAGGGCGCGAUGACACCGUCGCGAACUCAUGAUCAUGCGAAGCGGAUUUCCCCUCGGGGAGAAUCCUCUGGUUCUGAGCCACCACUGUAACGGUCUCAUGUGCAGGAGGCCAGAAAGGUAUCACGUUGGACGCAGCCGCCAUGAGACCCAACAGUCUCUGGAACUGUUUUACAGUGGAUGACCGGCCUAGCUUGACUUGAUGUACUGCGGCGAGAAUCGAAGCAACACGAGCAGGUGACAAUUGUGCCUGCAUCGUCGUCGAAUCCCACACUACACCGAGAAAAUGGUUCUCUGUAAUGGAGAAAGAACACUCUUCUUGGCGUUGAGCCUACAUCCCGAGUGACAGACACAGCGCCCUGUAACAUACUGGCAGGAAACAGCUGGUCUGAACACUCCACAACCCUCCUCGGAGGGGGCGAGCGUCCCUCGGGAAAUCGCUCGCCGAGUCUCUCUACACCCCGUGUAGGCAGGGUUAGUAGAACAGACCCCUGAGGGCAUCGGGAAAGACAGGGCACCGUGUUCUUGUGCGGUGAACUCAAGUCUCUCCCGAUGGGGACCACCCUCAGAGUCCUGACGUUCAGCCCGUCAGGACUUUUUCGACGCGGCCCUCCUGGCGACAAUGACCGUCCUCAGAUCAGUCCUGCCCCGAGAAGGCCGCGCCGGAGAGCGCCCCGCCUCGUCCCUCCAGUUUCCCUGCGGGGGGGCACGAGACGCGACACUCCGCUUCUGCUGUGCUCUCUUUGAAGAGGAAGAACUCGACGGCCGGGACUGCCCUUUUCGCUCAGCAGCCCCAGCGACACGUAUCUUGAGAGGGAUAAAUUUAGAAAAAGCAGCCGCCUGUUUUUUCUCUUCCUGGAACCUCACCGUGACCGAGUGAAGAGCGUCACCGAAGAGGCCCGCAGGUGAAACAGGAGCAUUUAAAAGGAGAGAUUUAUCUCUCUCCUUCAUAGAUGUCUGACUCAACCAUAAGUGCCUUUCUGUGGCCACCAUGGCUGCCAUAGAUCGACCAAUAGAUUUAGCGGACUCUCUGGUGGCACGCAGAGUGAGAUCAGCAGUC